Molecule: ribosomal RNA, 763 nt
Filed under: uncultured Streptococcus sp.
Lineage: Bacteria; Bacillati; Bacillota; Bacilli; Lactobacillales; Streptococcaceae
Description: bacterial SSU rRNA
Rfam family: Bacterial small subunit ribosomal RNA
Source: RNAcentral
GACGAACGCUGGCGGCGUGCCUAAUACAUGCAAGUAGAACGCUGAAGGAGGAGCUUGCUUCUCCGGAUGAGUUGCGAACGGGUGAGUAACGCGUAGGUAACCUGCCUGGUAGCGGGGGAUAACUAUUGGAAACGAUAGCUAAUACCGCAUAAUAGUAGAUGUUGCAUGACAUUUGCUUAAAAGGUGCAAUUGCAUCACUACCAGAUGGACCUGCGUUGUAUUAGCUAGUUGGUGGGGUAACGGCUCACCAAGGCGACGAUACAUAGCCGACCUGAGAGGGUGAUCGGCCACACUGGGACUGAGACACGGCCCAGACUCCUACGGGAGGCAGCAGUAGGGAAUCUUCGGCAAUGGACGGAAGUCUGACCGAGCAACGCCGCGUGAGUGAAGAAGGUUUUCGGAUCGUAAAGCUCUGUUGUAAGAGAAGAACGAGUGUGAGAGUGGAAAGUUCACACUGUGACGGUAUCUUACCAGAAAGGGACGGCUAACUACGUGCCAGCAGCCGCGGUAAUACGUAGGUCCCGAGCGUUGUCCGGAUUUAUUGGGCGUAAAGCGAGCGCAGGCGGUUAGAUAAGUCUGAAGUUAAAGGCUGUGGCUUAACCAUAGUACGCUUUGGAAACUGUUUAACUUGAGUGCAAGAGGGGAGAGUGGAAUUCCAUGUGUAGCGGUGAAAUGCGUAGAUAUAUGGAGGAACACCGGUGGCGAAAGCGGCUCUCUGGCUUGUAACUGACGCUGAGGCUCGAAAACGUGGGGAGCAAACAGG